Anneissia japonica is the source of this 822-nucleotide long non-coding RNA. RefSeq lists it as uncharacterized. NCBI's taxonomy places the organism in Eukaryota, Metazoa, Echinodermata, Crinoidea, Comatulida, Comatulidae. The record is from RefSeq and is a predicted model, not a curated record. The transcript is spliced from 3 exons.
CUGAACUGCUGUCCCGUUUACACUAUUCAGGCUCGGAAGUUAGAAUGUUUGGAGGAAGGCCUAGGCCUAGUAGGAGCAUGUUCCCCACUGAAUUUCAAAUUAUAAAUGAUUUGGAAAAUGAUGCUGUAGCCCUAUUGAAAGCUGGCAUAGACAAUAACUGAUCUGCAUUAAUAUCACAGUACAGAAAUCAGCAAACCAAAAACGUAUAAUGCAGCACUGAUUUGAAUAAUUCUUUUGGAAUAAGAGAAAUUGGAUAAGAAGGAAAACGUACAUGGAUACUGAGCCGUUACUUCCUUCACCGUAUGCCAUUCAUUUGCUGGAGUUAUGUCAACAGUCCCAGAGUCAUCUAGAAUCUCAUCGAUGGAAUCUAACCAAUACUCAAUCUCAUCAGUGGAAUCUACUUGGAGUCAUCAAUUAAUCAAGGGAUGUGAACUUCAUCUAUCAAUCUUCAGAUGUUCAACCAAUGGAACCAUCAUUUUCUGAUGUGCUUCAACCACGAACUGAUCACAUCUGCCCGAUGAUAUUCUUAAAAUUUAGCGUUAUUGGCCUAUUAUAUGAACUCUGUUUUAAAUCAUAUACUGAAUUGAUAAUAACUGACACAUGAACAACCAGCUACAAGCAAAGGAAUUUUAAUUUCAUGAACACUUAUACUGUAACCGUAACUCUAUAAUGAAAUUGCUUAUAAUAAUAUCAGUGCAGAAUGUUAUUACAGUAUUUUUCACGCGAAAAUUAAACCCUGUAUUAAAAAGUAUGGCAACGCCCCUUGUGUUGCUUUUAGGAACUGAAGUAAAAUUCAAGGCCCCAUUCGUUCCUGAUAAAGUG